AACAAUGAGUUUGAACAGUCUUUUCCUUUCUCAUAGCUUUAUCUUCAAGCAAGAAUGCAAGCCGAAUGGGCACGGCUCCUUCGCCCCACGCUCCAGUUCUUCCUGAUCGCCGCCUCCGUCUAUACGGGACUGUCCCGUGUCUCAGACUACAAACACCACUGGAGUGAUGUACUCACAGGACUCAUACAAGGAGCCCUCGUGGCUUUACUAGUGGUUUUCUGUGUGUCGGAUUUCUUCAAAAAGAAAGUCGAACCACAGAAGGAGGCAGAGAUCCCACACACCACCUUACAAGAGACACCUACGAAUGGAAAUCAUUAUGAAAACCCAAACUAA
Long non-coding RNA from Sinocyclocheilus grahami, 333 nucleotides. RefSeq lists it as uncharacterized. The record is from RefSeq and is a predicted model, not a curated record. The transcript has 2 exons. Lineage: Eukaryota; Metazoa; Chordata; Actinopteri; Cypriniformes; Cyprinidae.